CGCGUUUUUGCGCAGGCGGAGCUCGACCGCCCAUUGAAGCGAUGAUCGCGUUCAUCGACGACCAUCGGGCGCCCUACGGGGUCGAGCCGAUCUGCCGCCAGUUGCCGAUCGCCCCU
Molecule: non-coding RNA, 116 nt
Filed under: Wenxinia marina DSM 24838
Lineage: Bacteria; Pseudomonadati; Pseudomonadota; Alphaproteobacteria; Rhodobacterales; Roseobacteraceae
Description: ALIL pseudoknot
Rfam family: ALIL pseudoknot
Source: RNAcentral